RNAcentral lists this ribosomal RNA (236 nucleotides) under uncultured bacterium. Its description in RNAcentral is "partial 16S ribosomal RNA". It matches the Rfam family "Bacterial small subunit ribosomal RNA", at positions 219 to 454 of the family's 1533-position model. The record is from RNAcentral.
UAUUGGAGCGGCCGAUAUCGGAUUAGCUAGUUGGUGGGGUAAAGGCCCACCAAGGCGACGAUCCGUAGCGGGUCUGAGAGGACGACCCGCCACACUGGAACUGAGACACGGUCCAGACUCCUACGGGAGGCAGCAGUGGGGAAUUUUGGACAAUGGGGGCAACCCUGAUCCAGCCAUGCCGCGUGAGUGAAGAAGGCCUUCGGGUUGUAAAGCUCUUUCGGCAGGAACGAAACGGC